UUGAAACAAAUGUCAUCAAGAGGUAAUUAACUUUUGUAUCACUACUUGAACACUAGGAACCACAUAAGGUAUUAAAAAUUUAUUAAAAACCUAACUGAUAAAAACAAUUUCUAAAAGAGACUAAAGUGUCGUCCUUUUAUAAUUAGCCAAAUACCGGAGCAAUUUCUAUUUUCCUCACAAAAUUUACAAAAAUGACUCAAAAAUAGGAUCUUAAAUAAAUAAGCAAUAGAGCAGUCUAAUUGUACAUUCUCUAAUAUUACAAAAGCAAUGUUAAUUUUACAAACUUGUGAUCUGUCAGCAAGAUGAUAAAUAGAAAGAGAAAGUACGGUGCAUUUAGAGCUGGCAAAACGGGUCAUCGGGUCGUGUUCGUGUCGUGUCAGCUUCGUGUCGUGUCAAAUUUAGGUUGAUCCAAACCCGACCCAUUUAAUAAUCGUGUCAAAAUAUUGAGACCCAAACCCGACACGGAAAAAUAAUCGGGUUACCCAAUAACCCGUUUAAUAUCUAUAUAUUGAACAAAAGUUACAUAAAAUAUUUACACACUAUCAUACAUACGUAUGUACAUAAAUACAUACAUACAUACAUACAUAAUUUAUCGAUAUUAUAAAAUAUAUAUAUCUACUAAUAUAUUACACAUUUACACUAUUGAGGUUUUAAUUAUAUAUAUAUAUAUAUAUAUAAUAUUAUAUAUCAAUAUUAUAAAAUAUACAUGUCUAUCAAUUUUUACACAUUUACACUAUUGAAGCUCUAAAUGUAUGUAAAAUUUUAUAAAUAAAACACUGUGUUUAUAUUCACCCUUUUAAAGAAUAAAAAAAAGAAAAUCAUCUCUAAUAUUUGAGUUUUAAUUAUAAGAAUAUGUAAAUUAUUUUAAAAUAGAAAAUAUAAUCAGAUCAUUGAUCGGGUAAAUGGGUCAAGAAUUUUAACCCAAACCCGACACGGAAAAAAAUCGUGUUGACCCGGACCCGACCCAUUUAAUAAUCGUGUUAAAUUUGACGACCCAUACCCAUUUAUUUAUGUCGUGUUCGUGUCGGGUAAUCGGGUCGUGUCAAAUUUUGCCAGCUCUAGGUGCAUUAAAGAAUUCAAUACAAUGGAGAUCGAAGUAAGGAUGGCAACCCAUGUUAAGCCACAUUUUCCUAAAAAAAAAAAAUAUGAUAAGUUGCAUGAUACAUUGCGCUACUGACUAGUGACUACAAUCUAAAUGGAAAGGCACAUUGAUGAUAGUAAAAAUUAUUUUCAUUUAUGACUUCAUAACUUUCUGGUGAUUGAAUCUAACAAGUGCUCAAGUAUCCAAUGGUUCAAAUGCAUUCCACAUAUUUUGAUCACAUAUCCAAUGGAUCAAAUGCAUUCCACAUAUUUUGAUCAUCCGACGACUGCGGAUCUCUUAGAAUGGAUUCAAUCUUUGGUCCUCCAUGUUGAUUUCUUGCAACAGGAAAAUUCCAAAAUGAAUCAGAGUUCUCGAAGAAAAUGUAAAAUACAACAGCCGAUGCCAGAAAU
Molecule: long non-coding RNA, 1491 nt
Filed under: Citrus maxima (pomelo)
Lineage: Eukaryota; Viridiplantae; Streptophyta; Magnoliopsida; Sapindales; Rutaceae
Description: long non-coding RNA (CMAX_LNC001001)
Source: RNAcentral